UGCUUUUGUAAUAUGUAUCUAGUAAUCAAUAAGUAGUAAAAUUUGUUGAUCUAUGAACUUAUAUCUCAGUGUUUAAUAAGGCUUGUUUUAUGUCUUGUAUUUUGACUAGUAUAUCCUUCUGAAGCUCACAGUUCUUCAAUUUGAUAUAAGAAGGUGCUUUUUCAUAUCCUGAAGACGAUGUAGUGUGUUGGAUUUUAUCUAGUUUUUUCUGCAAAUCAUCCAAGUUUUUUCGCAGUUUUUUCCUUUUACUUGGAUAAAGCUUUUUUGGAACAAGCAGUAUAGUGUCUGAUGAUAUCCGAGAUAAAAUAAAGGUUUGAUUUCUCAUCAAAUCAAUAGUAUCUUCUUGGCUUAUCUACAAGAAUGUUAAAAAUUCAUAAGCUUAUGAAAAUGUUUUACAUACGCUUUUCAACUUAAGAUUAGUUGAUUGUUCAAUAGCAUCGUAAAAGUAUUUUAAUGGUUCCAAGGACGUUGAGAUGUAAACAGUAUGCUCCCUUGAUGGACUCUUAUUUAGAGGAGAUUCCAGUUUCCUCAAUUGAAUCAAUACAUCAUAUGCGUUUUGGACAACCACUUCUGCCUGGUUGUCAUGAACUAAUAGACAUUCUUGUUGUGAUGUUGGAAAGCUUAAAAAUUCACUGUUUUUACGUUCAGGGAUUAUUUUGCUGUGUAGCAUAACCUAGUUUGUUAAUACAUUUAUAACGUCUUUGUCACAUACGCCUGAAAUACAAGGUACGAUAGGGUGAAUGAGCUUCAAAAAAAUAUGCAAGAUAUCAGAAAAAACUCGAUAGACUUCAUAUGCAGAGGAUUUACUAUCUUUCACGUCAAACCUAGUUAGCUCUACGUAAACAGACGAAAGAUCGUUCAACAGAAAGUUUUUCAUGAUAUCAGCAGCGUUAAAAAAUUUUCGCUGCUCAAAAGACUCUUUCACACCCUCAACAGCAUGGUGCAGUUUUGAAUACGUUGCCAUUUUAAGUAAUGAAAUUCUUUGACGUUGUGAAUCAGUUAGCUUUAAAGGAUUCUCUUUGUCUUUAUACUGAUUAAAGUAGCGAGCGAGAUUCCAUAAUUUUGAAACAAAACGAUGGGCAUCUGAAAAUGAGUUCAUAUCCAAGAGUAUUCUUUGUUCAUGGUGAAGACAUAAAAAAAGCCCAUAACGGAAAAUAUCGAUCCCCUGAGCAGGAAUACCAUUAGGAAAAGCUUUCUCCAUUUGUUUUGAGGAUUUAUGUACUUCAGAAAUAGGAAGAUUUCCUUCAAGCAAUGCUUUUUUCAUGUUCUCUAAAGUAACACCAUUUAUAAUGUCCAUAGGAUCUAUAACAUUACCUAAUGAUUUUGACAUUUUACGCCCUUCAGAAUCUCGAACGAGAGGGUGUAAAAUAAUCUCUUUAAAUGGCAGUUCAUUGGAAAAAUAUUUGCAUAACAAUGCCAUCCUAGCAAUCCAAAAAAACAGUAUAUCUUGCCCACUUUCAAUGAAUGGGAGAGGCUGAAUAUCUUUACUUUUAGGCCAACCGAAGGCUGAUAAAGGAAGCAAUGCUGAAGAAAACCAAGUAUCUAAGACAUCUGAAUCUUGGGAAACGGAUUUCCCCACCGACAAUUGAAGUGCUUUCUCAUAAUUCGGAGCAGCAAUCCACUUGUCUUCUUCAAGUAUUUUCCAAACGGGAAUUUGAUGUCCCCACCAUAUUUGGCGAGAAAUGCACCAAUCGCCCAUUUUUUUAAACCAUGAAUCCCAUUCUUUUCUUGCUAAGGAAGGAACGAGUUUGAGUUUGUUGCUUGACUUUAAUACUUCUUUCUUCAAAGAGUCCACAGAAAGGUACCAUUGGGGAACCAUGACUGGCUCUAUAACAUCCCCUGUACGAGAACAUACUGAUAAUAUAAGUGAAUGUGGAACCUGCUCAACCAGUCUGUUUCUUUGCUGCAAAAGACGAACAAUUUUGGAGCGAGCUUUGAGUCUAUUCAUUCCAUUCACUUCUUUUGAGCAGUUAAUUAAAUUUCCUGAUUUAUCCAUAAUAGACACACAAUCAAUAUUGUGUCGCUUAGCAAUUUCAUAAUCAACAAUACUAUGCAUCGGAGUAAUUUUUAAAACGCCAGUUCCAAAAUGUCUGUCUACAGCAUUGUCACAUAUUACUGGAAUAAGAAGGUCAUCUAUCAAAGGAUGUUUAACAAACCUUCCAACAUAUUUUUUGUAUCUCUCAUCGUGCGGAGAGACGGCAAUAGCUCGAUCUCCAAAUAUCGUUUCCGGUCUAGUUGUUGAAACAUUUAAUUGUUCAUUAUCGGAUCCUUCUAGUUGAUACGAGAUUUCGUAGAGCCAUCCAAAUUCCACAGGUGUAUUAUCAACAUAUUUCGUAACCGGCUUAUUAAUCUGCUGGCUUUCGACCUCAAUGUCGGAUACUGCGCUUUCAAGUUUAGGGCACCAAUUAACAAAUCUAUUAGCUCUAUAGAUUAGCCCGGCAUUGAACAGACUUAUGAAAGCUUCGUUGACAGCCUCUGAUCGGUUUUGAUCCAUAGUAUAAAAAAUGUUGUCCCAAUCAAAAAUUGCUUCGAAAGAUUUCUAUUAUUAGAUGAAUUUUGUAAGUAGG
Molecule: long non-coding RNA, 2567 nt
Filed under: Schizosaccharomyces pombe (fission yeast)
Lineage: Eukaryota; Fungi; Ascomycota; Schizosaccharomycetes; Schizosaccharomycetales; Schizosaccharomycetaceae
Source: RNAcentral